This is an RNA transcript of Balaenoptera musculus (blue whale), 2455 nucleotides long. It is a transcript of the gene named zygote arrest 1, with no coding region annotated. The transcript has 6 exons. NCBI's taxonomy places the organism in Eukaryota, Metazoa, Chordata, Mammalia, Artiodactyla, Balaenopteridae. The record is from RefSeq and is a predicted model, not a curated record.
CUAUUUGUAACGAGCGGCCAACAUGUUUCUAGUGGACAAGGCAUUUGCUUUCAGCUGGGGACUGAUUGGGUCUUCUGCAUUUAUGUAAACACACCCUAAAUCAGUUUCUCUUUUGGAAAGAUUAUUUGGUUAGGAAAACCCGUAGAGCGACUGUCUACCCCAGAGAAGAGCAACAGCCAUCAGACCCUCGUGGUACUCAGCAGCACCUCCUGGUCACCGUUUGAGGUGGGGGGUUACGGGCGCGGCGGGGGUGGAGUGAGUUCUCCAAGGGAGAAAACGAUUAGCCUAGACACAUGCCCUGGAACGCUUUCCCUAUGCACUUGCUGAAAGGGUUCAACGCGUAGAUUUCUCAGGGCAGCCCUGAGAUGAUGAAAUAACCUACAAUCUGAGAUCGUAGGUAUCAGACCCAAAGCAGUUCCCCCAAAACCUUAGCAGUUUUGCUCACUAGCCAGAGGCAGUCAGCCUCGCCUCAGCUUCCCGGGCGGCGCCGACGAUCACGCAGGGAUGGGGACCACCUGGCUCAGCGAAUCGCCGUGAUGGUUCUCCUGCUGGUAUCCUCUUCACCUGGAGCCAGUUCACUUACAGACCAGUUCUGCUUCGCAAAGAAAGCCUUCUUUGCAGAUCAUCUCAGGGUAUUUGUGCCAACCUCCGGGUGUGGAAAGUUCCCACACCGAGAAAGUCUGGCAGGGGCCCCUCCGGCGGGGACACCAGCGGGUGGCGGGGAGGGUGCGGGGGGCCGCGCAGCGCGGCCAGCGGGGGUGGGGCCCGCGCCCGGCUGCCCCCGGGAGGUCGCCUAUUUAGGACGCAGGGGCGGGCAGGAGCGGCAGGGGUGUGCUGAUGGCUGCCCUGGGGGACGAGGUGCUGGACGCUUACAUGUACCCGGCGUGCGCCCUCUACUCGUACCCGUACCCCUACCCCUACCCGGCCGCCGCCAAGGGCAAGGGAGCGGCGGGCGGGGGAGGCUGGCGGCACCGGGACGGCGGCUACCCUCCCGUUUCCUCCUCCUCUGACGGCGCGGCCUCGUCGUCUUUCCCGGGCUACGGGCAGCUGGCGGCCGCCGAGUACUUCCACAGCUACCAGCGGGCGCAGCUCAUGGCCCUCCUGUCGCAGGUGGGCCCCGGCCUCGCCCCGCGGCCCGGCCGGGCCAGCAUUCGGGACGUGGCCGUGCAGGUGAACCCGCGCCGCGACGUCUCCGUGCAGUGCUCGCUGGGGCGGCGUACGCUGCUGCGCAGGGCCCGCGAGCCCGGCCCUGACCCCGAGGGCGCAGCGGGCGCGGGCGGCAGCUGCCCGGCCUCCCCGCAGCUGGUCCGCCGGGGCCCCGAGCAGGGCAGCCCGCCGAGCGGCGUCCCGCGGCCCGUGCGCUUCCCGCGCACCGUGGCGGUGUACUCGCCCGUGGCCUCCCGCCGCCUUGCUACCCUCCUGGAAGGGGCCGAGACUGCGGCGGCCGAGCAGAGGCCCGGGGCGCCGGACGGAGAGCUAGGGCCGCCAGCUGCGAGGCCCCGAGGCCCCGAGGAGGGAGAGGGGUCGGCGAGGAAGGAGCCCCAACGGCCGCAGUCCGAGGAGGACGAGGCCCAGGCCGGGGUACCGGCGAGCAGGGAGCAGCCCCCGCUGGUGGCCGGCGCCGCGGGCGAGAGGUGGUCGCCGCGGAGCCCCCAGCCGGGCAAGGAGCGCCUGCGCUUCCAGUUCUUAGAACAGAAGUAUGGCUACUAUCACUGCAAGGACUGCAACAUCCGAUGGGAAAGUGCCUACGUGUGGUGUGUACAGGGCACUAACAAGGUUUACUACAAGCAGUUUUGCAGAACAUGUCAGAAGUCUUAUAACCCUUACCGAGUGGAGGAUAUCACCUGUCAAAAUUGUAAACAGACUAGAUGCUCCUGCCCAGUAAAAGUUCGCCACGUGGACCCCAAAAGGCCCCACCGUCAAGAUUUGUGUGGGAGAUGCAAAGGCAAACGCCUAUCCUGUGACAGCACUUUCAGUUUCAAAUAUAUCAUUUAAAUGAAUGUGAAAAAACCAAAACACUGGUCCUGCUGAACGUGUGCUAGUGGAGCAGACAAAUUAUUUGACAAUUUCUUUAUGACAGAGCAGGAUUUGGAGUCAGCUUUCCAAGCAAUAAAUGACGAACGUUAUCUCCAAUGAAUAUUGAAUACAGAAGCCAAAUGUGGAUUUUCCUUUUCCAGGGGCUAGUCCUAAAGAUGGAUAUUUAUUUAAGGUACCUUUUCCUCGGUCAGAUAAAAAGAAAAUAAUAGCACUAUGGUUUAGUGGGGAAAAAACACUGGAGUCAUAGAAUUUCCAAGCUAAAGUGAAAGCUUAGAGCCUGCAAGUUAAGCUCCUAGGUUUCGACGGUUUGAUAUUAUUAAUAUUACCAGUUCUUUUGACUUCCUAGUUCUUUUUGUGUGAUAGAUUAAAUAUAAUAAAACUAAUAUAUAUAUAUCGAUGAAGUCAUUAGGACUUUGAG